Molecule: ribosomal RNA, 492 nt
Filed under: uncultured bacterium
Lineage: Bacteria
Description: partial 16S ribosomal RNA
Rfam family: Bacterial small subunit ribosomal RNA
Source: RNAcentral
GAUGAACGCUAGCUACAGGCUUAACACAUGCAAGUCGAGGGGAAACGACAUCGAAAGCUUGCUUUUGAUGGGCGUCGACCGGCGCACGGGUGAGUAACGCGUAUCCAACCUGCCCAUCACUUGGGGAUAACCUUGCGAAAGUAAGACUAAUACCCAAUGAUAUCUCUAGAAGACAUCUGAAAGAGAUUAAAGAUUUAUCGGUGAUGGAUGGGGAUGCGUCUGAUUAGCUUGUUGGCGGGGUAACGGCCCACCAAGGCAACGAUCAGUAGGGGUUCUGAGAGGAAGGUCCCCCACAUUGGAACUGAGACACGGUCCAAACUCCUACGGGAGGCAGCAGUGAGGAAUAUUGGUCAAUGGACGAGAGCCUGAACCAGCCAAGUAGCGUGCAGGAAGACGGCCCUAUGGGUUGUAAACUGCUUUUAUAAGGGAAUAAAGUGAGAGUCGUGACUCUUUUUGUAUGUACCUUAUGAAUAAGGACCGGCUAAUUCCGUG